Phasianus colchicus (ring-necked pheasant) is the source of this 752-nucleotide long non-coding RNA. RefSeq lists it as uncharacterized. The record is from RefSeq and is a predicted model, not a curated record. NCBI's taxonomy places the organism in Eukaryota, Metazoa, Chordata, Aves, Galliformes, Phasianidae.
UGCUUGAGUUUAGUGCUGGUUUAGGCCAAAACCAUUCUAGUGACCAUUUUAACUCCUUAACUCUGAUAAAAUUCUAGUAUUUGGGAACUUUUAUUACCACUGCCUAACUUCUAGUUUUAGACAAAGAUGACAGAGAGAAAAUUUGACUGAACUGAUGUAGGAAGUCAAGAAGAGUCAUGAUAGAACAUGAAAAACUUUUGUCCAUUCUGGAAGAUGAAAGAGUACAACUUCAUCCAGCACUGAAGAAAAUGGAAUAAGCCAGCAGUCAAUACAGGUGAAUAUUUACUAAUCAUCUCCUACAUAUGAGGGAAAGGGAAAGAGAAACCAUCUCCUCUAGCUGUGACUCAGAGGUAUGACCUCUGCUGAAGUACAGCACAGACUUCACUUGGCAGGUGACAAUUCCAUGCUACGAUUCAAAAUUGCCGAAGUUGAGAAGCUGACAUUUUCAAGAACUGAAGAACUGGAAAAGUGCAUCCUUUUCUUUAAACUUUGAGCUGUCUAGUUUUGGUGCCACCUCAGGCAGAAAAUAAUUUGCUGGAAAUUUCUUCCUGAUUCCCUCAAAUCCCCUCAAACUCUGUGUACAGCAUAUUGGGCCAGAUUCUUGGUUGUGUAUUCCCCAGUAUGAAGUAGCUGCUGAACUCUGUAAUUCCUGAAUGCUUUUGUGAAACUUACAGCUUGCUGGCUGUGUAUGUGUUUACAAUGGUACAUUGGAUUUUUCAAUUAUUUAUAGUUAAAAUGGAUUCUGUCGAAAU